GACGAACGCUGGCGGCGUGCUUAACACAUGCAAGUCGAACGGAAAGGCCCUGCUUUUGUGGGGUGCUCGAUUGGCGAACGGGUGAGUAACACGUGAGUAACCUGCCCUUGACUUUGGGAUAACUUCAGGAAACUGGGGCUAAUACCGGAUAGGAUCUCCUGCUGCAUGGUGGGGGUGGGAAAGUUUCGGCGUGUGGGGAUGGACUCGCGGCUUAUCAGCUUGUUGGUGGGGUAGUGACUUACCAAGGCGUUGACGGGUAGCUGGGCUGAGAGGGUGACCGGCCAAAUCGGGACUGGGAUACGGCACAGACUACUACGGGAGGCAGCAGUGGGGAAGAUUGCACAAUGGGAGGAAGCCUGAUGCAGCAACGCCGCGUGCGGGAUGACGGCCUUCGGGUUGUAAACCGCUUUCGCCUGUGACGAAGAGAGAGUGACGGUAAUGGGUAAAGAAGCACCGGCUAACUACGUG
RNAcentral lists this ribosomal RNA (468 nucleotides) under uncultured bacterium. Its description in RNAcentral is "partial 16S ribosomal RNA". It matches the Rfam family "Bacterial small subunit ribosomal RNA", at positions 28 to 507 of the family's 1533-position model. The record is from RNAcentral.